AGUUUGAUCCUGGCUCAGGAUGAACGCUGGCGGCGUGCCUAACACAUGCAAGUCGAACGAAGCGCUAUAGUUGGAUUCUUCGGAAAAAGAGUAUAGUGACUGAGUGGCGGACGGGUGAGUAACGCGUGGGCAACCUGCCCCAUACAGGGGGAUAACAGUUAGAAAUGACUGCUAAUACCGCAUAAGCGCACGGCAACGCAUGUUGCUGUGUGAAAAACUCCGGUGGUAUGGGAUGGACCCGCGUCUGAUUAGCCAGUUGGCAGGGUAACGGCCUACCAAAGCGACGAUCAGUAGCCGGCCUGAGAGGGUGGACGGCCACAUUGGGACUGAGACACGGCCCAAACUCCUACGGGAGGCAGCAGUGGGGAAUAUUGCACAAUGGGGGGAACCCUGAUGCAGCGACGCCGCGUGAGCGAAGAAGUAUUUCGGUAUGUAAAGCUCUAUCAGCAGGGAAGAAAAUGACGGUACCUGACUAAGAAGCACCGGCUAAAUACGUG
RNAcentral lists this ribosomal RNA (497 nucleotides) under uncultured Roseburia sp. RNAcentral's name for it is "bacterial SSU rRNA". It matches the Rfam family "Bacterial small subunit ribosomal RNA", at positions 10 to 507 of the family's 1533-position model. Lineage: Bacteria; Bacillati; Bacillota; Clostridia; Lachnospirales; Lachnospiraceae. The record is from RNAcentral.